This 6922-nucleotide long non-coding RNA is filed under the name Podarcis lilfordi (Lilford's wall lizard). Lineage: Eukaryota; Metazoa; Chordata; Lepidosauria; Squamata; Lacertidae. The record is from RNAcentral.
GGGUGUGGCCUGGGUAGGGGAGGAAGAAGGACAUUCGGCUAACAGAUUGAGGUUGAAUCCUGACAAGACAGAAGUACUGUUUUGGGGGGACAGGAGAUGGGCGGGUGUGGAGGACUCCCUGGUCCUGAAUGGGGUAACUGUGCCCCUGAAGGACCAGGUGUGCAGCCUGGGAGUCAUUUUGGACUCACAGCUGUCCAUGGAGGCGCAGGUCAAUUCUGUGUCCAGCGCAGCUGUUUAUCAGCUCCAUCAGGUACGCAGGCUGAGACCCUACCUGCCCGCAGACUGUCUCCCCAGAGUGGUGCAUGCUCUAGUUAUCUCUCACUUGGACUACUGCAAUGCGCUUUAUGUGGGGAUACCUUUGAAGGUGUGAUGGGAUGAUGAGCUGCUUGUGCGUAAAAUAGUAUCCCCUCAGAGUUUGUUCAAGUCCACAAACCUCUGUCUGUGACGGAGCCCUUCAGACAUGGCUCCUCUAGUCACUAGCAGAUUCCGACAGUGGUUGCUUUCGGAAUCGCUUCCCACAUAAAAGCUCCUUAACGGAAACACGUCUUCUGGACUCUCUGCGUGACAGUUUCCGGCGAGGAGUGGGUGUUCCUACAGGAGGUCCUGAAACCUCCCCACUGUUUUCGCUGGAAGUGUCUCUGAGCCAUCCCUCCAGCUCACUUUCCCUCAGCUCAGCUCCUCUCCCCUACUGGUUCCCUCUUCAGCUGCUGAGUCUCUCCCAACCUGUGUGAGCCCUUUCACCUCCCUUCCUUCCGAUGGCAGUUCCCUGACAUCCACCUCCCCUCCAGGGCCCCUUUCACCCCCUCUCGCCCCCUCCUCUACGGGCGGUGAGGAGGCAAAACCCAGGAAUGAACUUCCUUCAUCUUCCGAUGUCUCGAACACUUCUCUCCACCUGUUGCGGUUCCUGGUCUCGAAGUACUCCUCCUCCUCAGAGUCCAUCUCCCCUUCCCCUUCCGAGUCCGGGAAUCCUUCCAACUCCUCCUCCUCAUCAGUGGUCCCAAAGUAUUCCCUCCGGAACCUCUCCACAGGCUGAGGUUUCCUUGGGAACCUUUGAUGGAACGUUUCUAUCAAUACCUCGUCAUUGAUAUCUUCGGCCAUUACCCAAGUGUUUUCUGACUCCGGUUCUCCUUCCCACGCUACCAAAUACUCCACCUGAUCCCCCUUCCACCUGGCGUCGAGGAUUUCUGCCACAUGGCUGCUGCAUUCUCUUUCUUCUAUGACCGGUCCCCAAGUGGCCAUCCCUUCUCGUCCCCCUUCGUACGGUGACAGUAACGACCUGUGAAAUACUGGGUGCAGUUUCAUGUGGUUGGGUAACCGGAGCCUGAAAGCCACUGGGUUGACCUGUUGAAUGACCUCAAAGGGACCCAACCUCCUGGGUCUUAAUUUCUUACAACCUCCUUUGAACGGCAGCCCUUGGGUUGACAGCCACACCCUAUCUCCCACCCUUAUGGUUUCACCUUCCCUUCGGUUCUUGUCUGCCUGCCUCUUGUAUUCUUCCUUCGCCCUUUCUAAGUUGAGUUGGAGCUGACGAUGGAUUGCUUCCAUUUCUUCCACAAAAUGCUCGGCUGCCGGGACGCUCCAUCUCUCCCCAUCUCCCCUGGGAAAGCCCUGGGAUGACACCCAUAAUUAGCCAAGAAGGGCUCAUCCCUGUGGACACAUUCUCGGCAUUGUUGUAGGCAAAUUCCGCCAGCGCCAACUUUUCUACCCAGUCAUUCUCUCUGUCAUUGACAUAACACCUCAGGUAUUGCUGGAGGACACCGUUUGCUCUUUCCGCCUGCCCGUUGGUUUCAGGGUGCCGGGCAGUCGAAAAAUUGACCUCCACCUGCAGUAAGCUCAUGAGCUUCCUCCAGAACCUGGAAGUAAAUUGUUUUCCUCGGUCUGAGACCACCCUCAAUGGCACUCCGUGCAACCUAAAAAUGUGUUCUACAAAUAACUUCGCUGUCUCUUCCACCGUGACUGCAUGCGAGCAAGCUACAAAGUGGCACAUCUUUGUUAGUAGGUCUACCACCACCAUGAUGGCUGUUUUCCCUUUGGACUUCGGCAGAUCAGUCAUAAAAUCUAUCGACACUGCCUCCCAAGGUCGUUCUGGGGUUGGUAAGGGUUCUAAUAGCCCCGCCGGCGCCCGCCUUUCCCCUUUGGCUCGCUGGCAUUGCUCGCACCCUCUUACAUACUCACGUACAUCUUCCCUCACCUUAGGCCACCAAAAUUCCCUGGUGACCAACCACAUGGUUUUGUGUUGUCCAAAAUGCCCCGCCGUAGGGCUGUCGUGCAACUGCUUGAGUACCCUCCCCUUAAGUCUCCUUCAGGGAUAUACAGUGCCCCUUUGUAAUACAAAGCUCCAUUUCUUUCCUCGAAACCCCCUGGUUCCUCUCCCUCACCCCUAAGACCUCUGAGCUUAUUCUGGGCGUAUUCAUCAUUCUCUGUUUCCUCUACCAGUUCUCUUUGUCCCACCAAUGCCGCCCCACACACCCAGCGGUCCUCUGGAAUGACAUGUCUCUCUUCGGGUGCUCCCUCCCCUUCCAAAUAUUCAGGUUUGCGUGAGAGAGCGUCCGCCCUAAUGUUCUCUGGGCCUGGCACGUAACCAAUCUCAAAGUUAAAUUUGGAGAACUCCUGGGCCCAUCUCACUUGCCGUUGGUUGAGCACUCGUGCCGUCCUCCAAUACUCUAGGUUCUUGUGGUCAGUGCACACUUGCACCUUAUGUUGUGCGCCAAUUAGCAGGUGCCUCCAUCUCCGGAACGCCUCAUGAAUGGCUAGUAGUUCUCGGUCAUACACCGUGUAGUUCCUCUCGGAUUUGUUCAGCUUUCGCGAAAAAAUUGAACACGGUCUCCACUCUGACUCCUCCUUCCCUGGCUGCAGCAGCACCGCCCCAAUCGCUCUGUCUGAUGCGUCAGUUUCCACUCUCAUCGGUUUUUGUAAAUCCACAUGCAGGAGUUGUUGUUCCGAGGCGAAGGCCCUUUUAGUUCCUCAAAUGCUCGCUCCGCCUCCUCAGUCCAAACGAACUUCUUCUUACUGCUGAGACAGUCCGUAAUGGGCGCCGUCAGGUGGGCAAAGUUUCGGAUGAACUUACGAUAGAAGUUCCCAAAUCCUAGGAACCUCUGCACAUCCUUCCUUGUUUUGGGUGUUUUCCAUUCCAGCACCGCCUGGACCUUGCCGGGAUCCAUGGCCAAUCCCUUGUCUGACAGGCGAUACCCCAGGAAUUCCACCUCCUUGGUAUGAAACUGACACUUCUCCAGUUUCACCCACAGCUGGUUGGCUUGCAGCCUGCUCAACACUUCUCUGACGUCUCUCACAUGCUGCUCCUCAUUCUCAGAAUACACCAACACGUCGUCUAAAAGGCCACACAAUUCUUGUAAAGCAAAGGCCCCAGGACGUGGUUCAUAAACGAUUGAAAGGUUGCGGAGCCUGCUUGUAGGCCGAAGGGCAUAACCAAAUAUUCAAAUGCCCCUAAAGGGGUGAACAUGGUGGUUUUCCAUUCAUCCCCCUUCCUUAUUCGUACCAGGUUGUACGCCCCCCUUAGGUCCAGCUUUGUGAAAAUCUUUCCCUUCCGCACCCUUGUCAAAAUGUCGUCAAUCCUGGGCAUAGGGAAGGCCACUGGUUCUGACACUGCAUUUAAGGCCCUGAAGUCACACACCAGCCUCGGCUUGUUCGUGUUUUUAUCCACAAAAACACUGGGCUGCCCCCACCGCCCUGGACUCUCUGAUGAACCCUCUCUUCAGGUUCUUGUCAAUGAACUCUCUUAGCUCCUGCAUCUCUCUGUCUGACAUGGCGUACAGCUUGCCUACAGGGAGCUGUGCCCCAGGGAGUAAAUUGAUUUGACAGUCAAAGGGUCUAUGCGGGGGUAGUUGGUCAGCUUCCCUUUCGCUGAAGACGUCGCGGAGAUCUGCGUAUUGUCGUGGUACCUUCACGUUCUCCGUUACUUCAGUCCCUGCUAGGGUGGCUUGGGCCCCUGCCAAACCCUUUCCCUCUUUGCAGUGUUCUAAGCAAUGUGCUGAACCAAAAGAAACCACUCUCUGAUGCCAGCCCACCAGCGGAUCAUGUAACGCUAGCCAGCUCAUCCCCAAUAUAAUGGGAGCUCCUCCCAAGGUGGCCACAUUAAACGCUAUCAGUUCGGUGUGCCUUGCCACCUUCAUUAUCAUUGGGACGGUCUGCAAGCUGACUUCUCCUCCCAACAGCUCCCUGCCAUCGAUCGUGGUCACCUGCAGGGGGUUGCUUAAAGGGAUCGUCUGUAUCUGGUGUUCAGCUGCAAACUCUUUGCUCAUGAAAUUGCAGGAGCUGCCUGAGUCCAACAGCGCCUUUAUCUUUAGAGGGUGUCCGUUUGGCAGCUCUAGCGCCACUUCUAUCACUAGGGCGGGUUUAGGAGGUUCUGGCGUGGGCACUCUCACUGCUCUUUGGCCUGGCUGCUGUGCCCCGACGGUGGCAGCCAGGCGUUGGCUUUACUUGCUCCGGUAUUUCUUCCUCUCUUCCCUCCACAGCUCCUACCAUCCCUUGCCAUUCCUUCCUCUGGGGGCAGACUCUGGCAAAGUGACCUGGCUGUUGGCAGAGAUAGCAUUUCCGGGCACGUUUUCCCUCCUUCUUUCCCCCCUCACUGGGCUUUGAAACUGCGCGCGCGCGCAGUUCCGAUUUCCAUCGGCUCUGCCGGCGGGAAAGUUGGCUCUGGAAUGUCUGGAAUGCGGAACUCCUUCCAACGUUCCCCUUCCCUUCCCGCCUCUCCAAUGCUCUCGCCUCCUGGCGCGCUCCUAUGGUCAGCGCUGAUUUGGUCAGCUGGUCCAUAGACUCCGCCCUGGGCGCCCGGGAAAGUUCGUCUUUCACAGCCGAAGAAAGCCCUUCUUCAAAGAGCAUUUGAAUGGGUUCCGCCGAUAAGUCCCACCCCAAUCUGUGAACCAGCAUGGUGAACUCAGUCCAGUACUCACGGACAGAUCGGCUCCCUGUUUGCAAGCCAUUAACUGUCUGCGCACCACUCCCUGUUCAAUAUCGCUGGAAAACAUCAGAUCCAUGGCGCGAAAGAACUUCAUCGUGUCCUUUAGGACGUCACUAUUCGCUGCCAUCAGGGGUCUAACCCAGUCUUUCGCCCCCUUUUCAAGAUGCCCAAUCACGAAAGCCACUCGUGAUUCCUCGUCAGGGAAUUCAUCAAACUGCAGAUUGAGGGCAUAUUGCAUCUCUGUCCGAAAGCCAUGAUAGUCUUUGGGCUCCCCAAACUUCUGCACCAAUCCUGGUACCUUUCUGGCGAGCUGGGUGGCUUCCCCUUUUUGUCUGCAUCCUGAGCCCUCCUCUCCUCAAGCCUCGCCGUCUGCAGCGCUAGCUGGACCUCCAACACCCGGUACCUUUCUUCCAGGCUUGGACCCGCUCCAGCUCCUGCUUCUCCGGUUCCGGCUGGGUUGCUCAUGAUGCCUUCUCCUGCACAAGCUGCUUUCAAAGACUGUCGGAAUGCUGUGAUGGGAUGAUGAGCUGCUUGUGCGUAAAAUAGUAUCCCCUCAGAGUUUGUUCAAGUCCACAAACCUCUGUCUGUGACGGAGCCCUUCAGACAUGGCUCCUCUAGUCACUAGCAGAUUCCGACAGUGGUUGCUUCGGAAACGCUUCCAACAUAAAGCUCCUUAACGGAAACACGUCUUCUGGACUCUCUGCGUGACAGUUUCCGGCGAGGAGUGGGUGUUCCUACAGGAGGUCCUGAAACCUCCCCACUGUUUUCGCUGGAAGUGUCUCUGAGCCAUCCCUCCAGCUCACUUUCCCUCAGCUCAGCUCCUCUCCCCCUACUGGUUCCCUCUUCAGCUGCUGAGUCUCUCCCAACCUGUGUGAGCCCUUUCACCUCCCUUCCUUCCGAUGGCAGUUCCCUGACAGAAGGUGACCCUGAAACUACAACUAAUCCAGAAUGCGGUAGCUAGACUGGUGACUGGGAGCGGCCGCCGAGACCAUACAACACUGGGCUUGAAAGACCUACACUGGCUCCCAGUACGUUUCCGAGCACAAUUCAAAGUGUUGAUGCUGACCUUUAAAGCCCAAAACGGCCUCAGCCCAGUAUACCUGAAGGAGCGUCUCCACCUCCAUCAUUCUGCCCAGACACUAAGGUCCAGCGCUGAGGGCCUUCUGGCGGUUCCUUCGCUACGAGAAGCCAAGUUACAGGGAACCAGGCAGAGGGCCUUCUCAGUAGUGGCACCUGCCCUGCGGAACGCCCUCCCACCAGAUGUCAAAGAGAAAAAUAUCUACCAAACUUUUAGAAGACAUCUGAAGGCAGCCCUGUUUAGGGAAGCUCUUAAUGUUUAAUAGGUUAUUGUAUUUUAGUGUUUUGUUGGUGUAGCCUUAUGAGGCUUUGCCCUCGGGUGGGAAAAAUAUUGCGCCUGGGAAAGGGAAGUGGGAGUCAACAGACACUCAAGGAAUAGUUUCGGAGAAAAAGGUUUUAUUUCUACCAUCCAUGAACUGGUAGAAGGAGCAAGUGUGAUAGUCCGCAAAAGCAUGCACGAAGUUCACAGUCCUGUGCACAAGCAUAUAUACCCCUUUCCAGUUCCCUCCUCCUUUCUCCUCCCUCAGAAGUCCUGCCCCAUGAGUUCCUCUGAGCAUGAACAGAAAGCUGUCUUGGGACUAUUAGACUCUUCCCAGGAAAGGGGGAAUGAGAAGCCGAGGGGGUGGGUCGAGGAGCCCUGGUGGUUCAGCAUGUCCAAGAUGUUGCAUUCGUUUCCCAGGCCUGAGUAUUCUUGGCAAUGACAGAGCCUAUAUAUUAGCCUUUAAAAGUAACAUUUUGCCUUUUGCCACAGCAUCUUGUGAGAAAAGCAGAGAAGAGCAGAGAAAAGCUGUUUUGGAUUUUUAGAAGACAAAAGGAGUUUUGGACAGUUUUGAGGCCUGGUUGAUUAUUGAAGCCUGGGGUGAUUUCACAGACAGGAUUUGCAUAUCCUGUCCCUACAUUGGAAGCCGCCCAGAGUGGCUGGGGAAG